This 537-nucleotide ribosomal RNA is filed under the name uncultured bacterium. Its description in RNAcentral is "partial 16S ribosomal RNA". It matches the Rfam family "Bacterial small subunit ribosomal RNA", at positions 28 to 523 of the family's 1533-position model. The record is from RNAcentral.
GACGAACGCUGGCGGCGUGCCUAAUACAUGCAAGUCGAACGAACUCUGGUUUUUGAUUGACGGUGCUUGCACCUGAUUGAUUAAACAUUUGAGUGAGUGGCGAACUGGUGAGUAACACGUAGGAAACCUGCCCAGAAGCGGGGGAUAACACCUGGAAACAGAUGCUAAUACCGCAUAACAACUUGAACUGCAUGGUUCGAGUUUGAAAGAUGGCUCUGCUAUCACUUCUGGAUGGUCCUGCGGCGUAUUAGCUAGAUGGUGAGGUAACGGCUCACAAUGGAAAGGAUACGGAGCCGACCUGAGAGGGUAAUCGGCCACAUUGGGACUGAGACACGGACCAAACUCCUACGGGAGGCAGCAGUAGGGAAUCUUCCACAAUGGACGAAAGUCUGAUGGAGCAACGCCGCGUGAGUGAAGAAGGGUUUCGGCUCGUAAAACUCUGUUGUUAGAGAAGAACAUAUCUGAGAGUAACUGUUCAGGUAUUGACGGUAUCUAACCAGAAAGCCACGGCUAACUACGUGCCAGCCGCCGCCGUAA